AUUGAACGCUAGCGGGAUGCCUUACACAUGCAAGUCGAACGGCAGCGCGGACUUCGGUCUGGCGGCGAGUGGCGAACGGGUGAGUAAUGUACCGGAACGUGCCCAGUAGCGGGGGAUAACUACUCGAAAGAGUAGCUAAUACCGCAUACGCCCUACGGGGGAAAGGGGGGGAUCGCAAGACCUCUCACUAUUGGAGCGGGCGAUAGCGGAUUAUCUAGUUGGUGAGGUAAAGGCUCACCAAGGCGACGAUCCGUAGCUGGUUUGAGAGGACGACCAGCCACACUGGGACUGAGACACGGCCCAGACUCCUACGGGAGGCAGCAGUGGGGAAUUUUGGACAAUGGGGGCAACCCUGAUCCAGCCAUUCCGCGUGUGCGAUGAAGGCCUUCGGGUUGUAAAGCACUUUUGGCAGGAAAGAAAUCGCACGGAUUAAUACUCUGUGUGGAUGACGGUACCUGCAGGAUAAGCACCGGCUAACUACGUGCCAGCCGCCGCCGUAA
RNAcentral lists this ribosomal RNA (500 nucleotides) under uncultured bacterium. RNAcentral describes it as "partial 16S ribosomal RNA". It matches the Rfam family "Bacterial small subunit ribosomal RNA", at positions 30 to 523 of the family's 1533-position model. The record is from RNAcentral.